ACAUCGGUGGCACAGUGAUCAGUGCAGCCUGCCAGAAACAGAAAGACAGGGGUUCAAUUCCCGUCCGAUGUC
This is a non-coding RNA of Nippostrongylus brasiliensis, 72 nucleotides long. Lineage: Eukaryota; Metazoa; Nematoda; Chromadorea; Rhabditida; Heligmosomidae. The record is from Rfam.